Molecule: ribosomal RNA, 1930 nt
Filed under: Klebsiella pneumoniae
Lineage: Bacteria; Pseudomonadati; Pseudomonadota; Gammaproteobacteria; Enterobacterales; Enterobacteriaceae
Description: partial 23S ribosomal RNA
Rfam family: Bacterial large subunit ribosomal RNA
Source: RNAcentral
UGUUUCGGCUAGGGGGUCAUCCCGACUUACCAACCCGAUGCAAACUACGAAUACCGAAGAAUGUUAUCACGGGAGACACACGGCGGGUGCUAACGUCCGUCGUGAAGAGGGAAACAACCCAGACCGCCAGCUAAGGUCCCAAAGUCAUGGUUAAGUGGGAAACGAUGUGGGAAGGCACAGACAGCCAGGAUGUUGGCUUAGAAGCAGCCAUCAUUUAAAGAAAGCGUAAUAGCUCACUGGUCGAGUCGGCCUGCGCGGAAGAUGUAACGGGGCUAAACCAUGCACCGAAGCUGCGGCAGCGACACUAUGUGUUGUUGGGUAGGGGAGCGUUCUGUAAGCCUGCGAAGGUGACCUGUGAGGGUUGCUGGAGGUAUCAGAAGUGCGAAUGCUGACAUAAGUAACGAUAAAGCGGGUGAAAAGCCCGCUCGCCGGAAGACCAAGGGUUCCUGUCCAACGUUAAUCGGGGCAGGGUGAGUCGACCCCUAAGGCGAGGCCGAAAGGCGUAGUCGAUGGGAAACAGGUUAAUAUUCCUGUACUUGGUGUUACUGCGAAGGGGGGACGGAGAAGGCUAUGUUAGCCGGGCGACGGUUGUCCCGGUUUAAGCAUGUAGGCUGGUUGUCCAGGCAAAUCCGGAUAAUCAAGGCUGAGGUGUGAUGACGAGGCACUACGGUGCUGAAGUAACAAAUGCCCUGCUUCCAGGAAAAGCCUCUAAGCAUCAGGUAACAUCAAAUCGUACCCCAAACCGACACAGGUGGUCAGGUAGAGAAUACCAAGGCGCUUGAGAGAACUCGGGUGAAGGAACUAGGCAAAAUGGUGCCGUAACUUCGGGAGAAGGCACGCUGGUGUGUAGGUGAAGUCCCUGCGGAUGGAGCUGAGACCAGUCGAAGAUACCAGCUGGCUGCAACUGUUUAUUAAAAACACAGCACUGUGCAAACACGAAAGUGGACGUAUACGGUGUGACGCCUGCCCGGUGCCGGAAGGUUAAUUGAUGGGGUUAUCCGUAAGGAGAAGCUCUUGAUCGAAGCCCCGGUAAACGGCGGCCGUAACUAUAACGGUCCUAAGGUAGCGAAAUUCCUUGUCGGGUAAGUUCCGACCUGCACGAAUGGCGUAAUGAUGGCCAGGCUGUCUCCACCCGAGACUCAGUGAAAUUGAACUCGCUGUGAAGAUGCAGUGUACCCGCGGCAAGACGGAAAGACCCCGUGAACCUUUACUAUAGCUUGACACUGAACAUUGAGCCUUGAUGUGUAGGAUAGGUGGGAGGCUUUGAAGCGUGGACGCCAGUCUGCGUGGAGCCAACCUUGAAAUACCACCCUUUAAUGUUUGAUGUUCUAACGUUGGCCCCUUACCGGGGUUGCGGACAGUGUCUGGUGGGUAGUUUGACUGGGGCGGUCUCCUCCCAAAGCGUAACGGAGGAGCACGAAGGUUAGCUAAUCCUGGUCGGACAUCAGGAGGUUAGUGCAAUGGCAUAAGCUAGCUUGACUGCGAGCGUGACGGCGCGAGCAGGUGCGAAAGCAGGUCAUAGUGAUCCGGUGGUUCUGAAUGGAAGGGCCAUCGCUCAACGGAUAAAAGGUACUCCGGGGAUAACAGGCUGAUACCGCCCAAGAGUUCAUAUCGACGGCGGUGUUUGGCACCUCGAUGUCGGCUCAUCACAUCCUGGGGCUGAAGUAGGUCCCAAGGGUAUGGCUGUUCGCCAUUUAAAGUGGUACGCGAGCUGGGUUUAGAACGUCGUGAGACAGUUCGGUCCCUAUCUGCCGUGGGCGCUGGAGAAUUGAGGGGGGCUGCUCCUAGUACGAGAGGACCGGAGUGGACGCAUCACUGGUGUUCGGGUUGUCAUGCCAAUGGCACUGCCCGGUAGCUAAAUGCGGAAGAGAUAAGUGCUGAAAGCAUCUAAGCACGAAACUUGCCCCGAGAUGAGUUCUCCCUGAGACUU